UUGUCGAAACCUGCCACGCAGAACGACCCGCGAACUAGUUUAAAAAAACAGAUGACGAUCUGGCCUCUUGGCCACGACGAUUAUCACCCAUUGCCAGUUGGAAUGUCGUUUUGCGCUUGCGCACCUUUUCGGUAGGAAAGUGGUAAGCACGACGACGUUUCCCUGGCAAUAAAAAAAAAAAACUAACCCCGGCGCAGAUCGCGCCAAGGAACUCGAACGAAUGAGCGUGCCCUCCUUGGCCCGGAUACGGUGUCCUCGUGGGGGUUACGUGGUCUUCGAUACGUAAAAAAAUGACUCUCGGCAACGGAUAUCUCGGCUCUCGCAUCGAUGAAGAACGUAGCGAAAUGCGAUACUUGGUGUGAAUUGCAGAAUCCCGUGAACCAUCGAGUCUUUGAACGCAAGUUGCGCCCGAAGCCAUCAGGCCGAGGGCACGUCUGCCUGGGCGUCACGCACCGUUGCCCUCCCAACAUCACCGUCCUUCGAGGCUACGUUUUGUUGCGAAGGCGCAUAUUGGCUUCCCGUGAGCCUCGCCUCGCGGUUGGCCCAAAAUCUUAGUCGUUGGCGACCCGUGCCGCGACGACGGUGGUUGUCGAAACUUCGGUGCCCUGUCGUGUGUGCGGGUCGUUCGUGAUGCAAGGACCCAACGCAUUCGAAUGUGAUGCCUCUCGAUGCGACCCCA
Molecule: ribosomal RNA, 679 nt
Filed under: Hippophae tibetana
Lineage: Eukaryota; Viridiplantae; Streptophyta; Magnoliopsida; Rosales; Elaeagnaceae
Description: eukaryotic LSU rRNA
Rfam family: 5.8S ribosomal RNA (bases 293-448)
Source: RNAcentral